CCUACGGGUGGCUGCAGUGGGGAAUAUUGCACAAUGGGCGCAAGCCUGAUGCAGCCAUGCCGCGUGUGUGAAGAAGGCCUUCGGGUUGUAAAGCACUUUCAGCGGGGAGGAAGGCGGUGAGGUCAAUAACCUCAUCGAUUGACGUUACCCGCAGAAGAAGCACCGGCUAACUCCGUGCCAGCAGCCGCGGUAAUACGGAGGGUGCAAGCGUUAAUCGGAAUUACUGGGCGUAAAGCGCACGCAGGCGGUCUGUCAAGUCGGAUGUGAAAUCCCCGGGCUCAACCUGGGAACUGCAUUCGAAACUGGCAGGCUAGAGUCUUGUAGAGGGGGGUAGAAUUCCAGGUGUAGCGGUGAAAUGCGUAGAGAUCUGGAGGAAUACCGGUGGCGAAGGCGGCCCCCUGGACAAAGACUGACGCUCAGGUGCGAAAGCGUGGGGAGCAAACAGGAUUAGAUACCCCAGUAGUC
Molecule: ribosomal RNA, 465 nt
Filed under: uncultured Klebsiella sp.
Lineage: Bacteria; Pseudomonadati; Pseudomonadota; Gammaproteobacteria; Enterobacterales; Enterobacteriaceae
Description: bacterial SSU rRNA
Rfam family: Bacterial small subunit ribosomal RNA
Source: RNAcentral